GUUGGCCAUGAUGCAAUGUAGCACCAGAUGUCCGGUCUAUGCUCUUGAAAUUUCCAGGCACCAAAACCCCAAUUCAGAGAUCUGUUCAUCUCUUGCCUCUGUAUUUGCAUCCUUCUUCAUCCGGAGUGGACCUGACUUCAAGCAGGACCUGACUUCUCCCAUUUAAUGUACGCCAGCAAGCUGUUGAGGCAUACUUGGAAGUGAAGAACUGCUCAGAUGAGAUGUCCUUAAAGAACAGACUAAUAAUGCAACAAAUGACGAAGGGUGGCGAGAAGAAGGGCCAUUCUGCCAUCACCGAGGUGGUGACCCAGGAAUACACCAUCAACAUUCACAAGCACAUCCAUGGUGCGAGCUUCAAGAAACAUGCCCCUCGGGCACUAAAAGAAAUCAGGAAAUUUGCCAUGAAGGAGAUGGGGGCUCCAGAUGUGUGCAUUGA
Long non-coding RNA from Tupaia belangeri chinensis (Chinese tree shrew), 436 nucleotides. RefSeq lists it as uncharacterized. The record is from RefSeq and is a predicted model, not a curated record. The transcript is spliced from 3 exons. Lineage: Eukaryota; Metazoa; Chordata; Mammalia; Scandentia; Tupaiidae.